Molecule: ribosomal RNA, 524 nt
Filed under: uncultured bacterium
Lineage: Bacteria
Description: partial 16S ribosomal RNA
Rfam family: Bacterial small subunit ribosomal RNA
Source: RNAcentral
GACGAACGCUGGCGGCGUGCUUAACACAUGCAAGUCGAACGAGACGAUUGAAAGCUUGCUUUUAAAAGUCGAGUGGCAAACGGGUGAGUAACGCGUAGACAACCUGCCUUUGAGAUGGGGACAACAGUUCGAAAGGACUGCUAAUACCGAAUGUUGUAUAUUUUCCACAUGGAAGAUAUAUUAAAGAUGGCCUCUAUUUAUAAGCUAUCGCUCAAAGAUGGGUCUGCGUCUGAUCAGCUAGUUGGUGGGGUAACGGCCUACCAAGGCGACGAUCAGUAGCCGGUCGGAGGGGAUGAACGGCCACAUUGGGACUGAGACACGGCCCAGACUCCUACGGGAGGCAGCAGUGGGGAAUCUUCCACAAUGGACGAAAGUCUGAUGGAGCAACGCCGCGUGAGUGAAGAAGGGUUUCGGCUCGUAAAGCUCUGUUGUCGGGGACGAAUGUGCAGUAUUUGAAUAAAGUACUGCAAUGACGGUACCUGACGAGGAAGCCACGGCUAACUACGUGCCAGCCGCCGCGGUAA